GAUGAACGCUGGCGGCGUGCUUAACACAUGCAAGUCGAACGGAAAGGCUCCUGCUUUCAGGGGUUCUCGAGUGGCGAACGGGUGAGUAACACGUGGGUGAUCUGCCCUUCACUUCGUGAUAAGCCUGGGAAACUGGGUCUAAUACCGGAUAGGACGAUGGUUUGGAUGCCAUUGUGUAAAGUUUGUUCGGUUUGGGGUGAGCUCGCGGCCUAUCAGCUUGUUGGUGGGGUAAUGGCCUACCAAGGCGUAGACGGGUAGCCGGCCUGAGAGGGUGUACGGCCACAUUGGGACUGAGAUACGGCCCAGACUCCUACGGGAGGCAGCAGUGGGGAAUAUUGCACAAUGGGCGCAAGCCUGAUGCAGCGACGCCGCGUGGGGGAUGACGGCCUUCGGGUUGUAAACUCCUUUCGCUAGGGACGAAGCGCAAGUGACGGUACCUGGAGAAGAAGCACCGGCUAACUACGUG
RNAcentral lists this ribosomal RNA (466 nucleotides) under uncultured bacterium. Its description in RNAcentral is "partial 16S ribosomal RNA". It matches the Rfam family "Bacterial small subunit ribosomal RNA", at positions 28 to 507 of the family's 1533-position model. The record is from RNAcentral.